This 626-nucleotide long non-coding RNA is filed under the name Fukomys damarensis (Damara mole-rat). RNAcentral's name for it is "lncRNA (ENSFDAG00000027252.1)". The record is from RNAcentral. Lineage: Eukaryota; Metazoa; Chordata; Mammalia; Rodentia; Bathyergidae.
UUUUCAGAUUUGGAGGUAAAAUCCAUUUUAGCCUAUUCGAAAGCAUCUGUGUUUGUAUAAAAUAAGACACAAGGCAGUUUCUCUGUUCAGGGGCUGCAGCUUUCACUCUGUUUAAUUUUUAUUAGCUGGGAUCCCUUCCCUACUAGUUUUCUCUCUAAGUGUUUGUGUAGUCGUGAGGGGAAGUAGUGAAGGGAGGCUGAUGGGCCUCGCUUUGUCCGUCACAAAGACCAAGCUCACAGCUCUGCAUUGUACCUGGGAGCAAGUACACCCAGGUCUCAAGUCCGGGCGAUUGUUUGGUUUUAGUCUACCUCAUCAUAGAAACAGGAGUCUGGGCUGGGGAAGUUGGGAGAAUAGGCCCUGACUGUGUAAGCAAGCAAGAGCUGACAGCGUGUAGGAAAAUAGUCAGGAUGUCGUGGAGUGCGGAGAGGAGCUGGCCAGCUGGUGGAUGCAAGGACGAACUCAGGAAGGACGAGCAGACAGGCGGAGCCAGACCUGGGCUCCCAGCGGUCACCCUGAUGGCAGCGAUUCCCACGGAUGUUUCCAAGCCUUCCAGUCACAUCUCCCCGCGUGGCAGCUGCUUGUGACCCUGAGGAGCGCCGCCAGCCAGGGUCGUCUGUGACACCGAC